This is a long non-coding RNA of Panonychus citri (citrus red mite), 1072 nucleotides long. RefSeq lists it as uncharacterized. The transcript has 3 exons. The record is from RefSeq and is a predicted model, not a curated record. NCBI's taxonomy places the organism in Eukaryota, Metazoa, Arthropoda, Arachnida, Trombidiformes, Tetranychidae.
UGAAGAUAACAUUGACUAUUCCAAAAUAUGGAUGACUGAUCCAGUAAAUACUCUUAAACAUCACAAUUUACCAGAAUUGUUACCAAAUCUCAGGAUCGUCACUGUAGUUGAUGAGUUCGACAACUAUAAAUUGAAGCCAAGACAUUUCAGAAAAGUGAUCAACAAUAAUCCGAAAAUCAAAGGAGUCAUUGGAUUACAGAACAAGUGUAAGCUCAAUUUGAGACACGUCGAAAUGAUGGCAAUGAGCCAUAUGGUUAACUUCAAGAAAGUUUUUCGCUCUGAUCAGUUGAAACAAAUUCAAUUAAAAGGGCUUCAUGUACAUAAUCUUCCUGAAUACGUUGAAUACUUUCCGAAUUUGCAGCGACUCCAUGUUUGUCUCCUUGGUAAAUCAUUCAUGUCGAUUUAAUAUCUUUCAAGAUUGUUAGAUUAAUCAAAGAAUCAUUUCUACAGGAGAUGAGCGUUACAAUGGUCCAAAUUUAUCAAAGCUGAAGAUUCUUGAAGCUUAUGUAUCAGGAUUCGGUCAGGCUUGUGACAAAUUCAACGUGAUAGAUUAUUGUCCGUCUUUGGAAAGCGCUUUUAUUUGUGGUACUACAUAUGAGCAAAGAAUUGACAUUUCCAUAAAGAACUACAAUCUAAGAGAUUUGGUGAUUGACAUACCAUUGGUAGAUUACAUGAAUUGGUCAUCUAUCCGAAAACUGUUGACCAAAUUUCCAAAUUUACUCCAUCUCGCGAUCAGAGGAUCUCAAGAUGUUGCGGAUUGUCAUGUGGAAGAAUUGGUUCAACUAUUGCCACAGAUAAAGCUAUUGGAUUUUAGGGAAUCUAAUGGAAUUACUGUUAAAUCAGCUGAUUUCUUAUCUAAAUUCUGUCUCAAAUCUGAUCGAUCCAUCAAAAUCUAUUAUGAUUGUGAAAAUGAACCAGAUGACUGGCCCAAAUACGAUACACCUCAAGAAUCAAUUGUUUACGGAUUCAAUUUCAUGAAACAUUGUUUUUAUAAGUCUUUCCCCUACCUCCCAUUUCUAUUUGAUGAAUAAACCACGCAAAUUUCAAAUCUCAUGUUUCUGUAAUAAAUUCA